Long non-coding RNA from Ctenopharyngodon idella (grass carp), 1589 nucleotides. RefSeq lists it as uncharacterized. The record is from RefSeq and is a predicted model, not a curated record. The transcript is spliced from 2 exons. NCBI's taxonomy places the organism in Eukaryota, Metazoa, Chordata, Actinopteri, Cypriniformes, Xenocyprididae.
GUGAACAACAUCAGUGAUGAAAGACGCUCAAAACUUCUAAAGCAGACAACGUUAUUUAUUAAGUUACACAUUUAAAUAUACAGAUGGUAGAAAUGUUAAUUUUCUCUCUUUAAGCAAGAGUGAAAUACAACUGAAAGAAAGACCAUAAACAAUCUCAGCAAUCUUCAAUAAGCAUGAAGAAUCUUUGACAGAUACUAUAUGCAGUAUCAGACUGAAAUGAUGAAGACAUGUUUAAUUCACAUUUAUACUUUUAAAGGGAUUACUGUAAUUUCACUCAUAUUUACUCAGCUUUACAAUAAUCAACAUCUCACAGAUGCCAUACAGCUUGAUCUGCAAUAUUCUGUCAAUUCAGAACAGUGCAAAAAACACAACUUCUGACCUCACAAGACAUGUCUGCUCACAUUCACACAUAUAUCUGAAGAUCAGAAGCUUCACAUUCACAGUGAGGUAAUGAAGACAACAGAAAAAGCCCAAAAUUAAUCCAUUUGGUUUAUACAAUAUGAGUGUAAAGGUCAUCAAACAUUGUUCUUCUUCUGGCCUUUGAGCACCACAUACAGAUCUGAUGUUUUUGGCAGCUAACAUUUAUGUAGAUUCCUGAUCAUUUUAGUCACAGAGAGGAUUAAGUUUAUUAUUUUUCCUGAGUAUCAUUAUUUACACCUAUAUUGAAACAAUACAGUAACAAUUUUUCAAUAUUACCAAAAUACAUAAUUAAAAAUAAGCAAAAUAUUACUGCAUCAAAAGUGGAUUACAAAACAAGUAAAAAAGACCAAGUUCAUAGUUUUUCUCAAUACAUAAUGCAGCUUCACAAAGAGAAGAGCAAGAGGUCAGUUAAAGGCAACAAUGGCAAGGAAAAAAAUCUCUCUAAAGAUGUUUAAAAUGGGAGAAACAACUUGGCAAGAAACACAUUUGAGUCCAUGCCAGCAAUAAUAAUAUAAUUGUUGUUAUUGUUGUUGUUGUUGUUGUUGUUAUCAUAAUCAUAACAGUGUAAAUUUGUCAUUAUUGAGUCACUCACUUUGCAAAAACUGGCCUUGAUAGUGCACUCUUUCACUGUGAUGCAGACUAUAAUAAAGUUAAAAUGAACCUGAAACCCAAGAUAUAAGGCUGAAAUGAGUAUAAAUUUUUGUCUUAUAUUUAUAUAAUAUAAUAUAGUUGAGCAAGAGUGAUUUUCUUCCUGAAUAUCUGCAUGAUUUCAAAUGUGAUAUUGAUUUUAUUUAACAGUUCAGUUCAAUAAGCACCUCUGUUUUUGCUUUAUUUCACAAACUAAAAUAGUUCCAAAUAAAUCACAGCAGAACCACUGCAUCUCUUCCUGUAUAUCAUAUAUAUAUAUAUAUAUAUAUAUAUAUAUAUAUAUAUAUAUAUUAUAUGAUAUCUUGAAAUUUUCUGGGAUUUUGAUAACAAUAAUUGUGUUUUUGUGCUGGAAUAUCUUGGCUGGUUUAGGACUGUCUAACUCACAAAACUUUUCAUAAUCUGCAUUAAAGGUGAUAUUUUCUCCCAUAAAUUGAUCUCCAGUGACAAUUUUACCUUUAUUGUCAUUUUUCUUACAUAUAGAUAAAUGCAUCUUCUUUUAUGUCAAAUUAAUUUAAUAAAUA